Molecule: unclassified non-coding RNA, 328 nt
Filed under: soil metagenome
Description: partial contains 5.8S ribosomal RNA, internal transcribed spacer 2, and large subunit ribosomal RNA
Rfam family: 5.8S ribosomal RNA (bases 1-120)
Source: RNAcentral
GAUGAAGAACUUAGCGAAAUGCGAUAAGUAAUGUGAAUUGCAGAAUUCAGUGAAUCAUCGAAUCUUUGAACGCACAUUGCGCCCCUUGGUAUUCCGAGGGGCAUGCCUGUUCGAGCGUCAUUAUAACCCCUCAAGCUCAGCUUGGUGUUGGGGCCUGCUGCACUGGCAGCCCUUAAAAUCAGUGGCGGCGCCAUCUGGCUCUAAGCGUAGUAAUUCUUCUCGCUAUAGAGUCCCGGUGGAUGCUUGCCAUUAACCCCCAAUUUUCUAUGGUUGACCUCGGAUCAGGUAGGGAUACCCGCUGAACUUAAGCAUAUCAAUAAGCGGAGGA